GGGCUUUGGAAUGUACAAAGUUUAUUGCAUGUGUUCUUGUAGGUGCUCUGUGAUUGGAUUUUUCAUAAGCUUGGUCAUGAUCCGAAGGCAUGAUAACGUAGAUACUAUUGCUUGCACUCAGCCAAGCACAUUCAUGAUUUUGUUUUGCGCCACUAUCGCCCUGGCAGAGAAGUUUGGUUGUUGCUUGGUCAUCCUUUAAAAUAG
This 204-nucleotide long non-coding RNA is filed under the name Elaeis guineensis (African oil palm). RNAcentral describes it as "long non-coding RNA (EGUI_LNC019103)". Lineage: Eukaryota; Viridiplantae; Streptophyta; Magnoliopsida; Arecales; Arecaceae. The record is from RNAcentral.